AACGCGAAGAACCUUACCCAGGCUUGACAUCCUUGGAAUUUUGCCGAAAGGCAAGAGUGCUUUAUUGAGCCAAGUGACAGGUGUUGCAUGGCCGUCGUCAGCUCGUGUCGUGAGAUGUUUGGUUAAGUCCAUCAACGAGCGCAACCCUUGUGACUAGUUGAAUUUUUCUAGUCAGACUGCCCUGGUAACAGGGAGGAAGGAGGGGAUGAUGUCAGGUCAGUAUUACCCUUACGCCUGGGGCUACAAACACGCUACAAUGGCCGGUACAAAGGGCAGCCAAGUCGCAAGACGGAGCAAAUCCCAUCAAAGCCGGUCCCAGUUCGGAUAGCAGGCUGAAACCCGCCUGCUUGAAGUCGGAAUCGCUAGUAACGGUAGGUCAGCUAUACUACCGUGAAUACGUUCCCGGGCCUUGUACACACCGAUAGC
This 426-nucleotide ribosomal RNA is filed under the name uncultured bacterium. RNAcentral describes it as "bacterial SSU rRNA". It matches the Rfam family "Bacterial small subunit ribosomal RNA", at positions 958 to 1397 of the family's 1533-position model. The record is from RNAcentral.